GGGAGUUAAUACUCAAUAUCAAUCAGAAAAGAGUAAGUGAACAAUACCUAGUUGUCCUGGAUGGAUUCAAAUCACCUUACCCAGGUGAACCAUACCCAUAGGGUUUGAAACAACUGGCAGGAAAUAAUCUAUGAGGCAGCAACAUAGUGCCAUAGUGCAAAGAACGGUAGGUCUGAAAUCAGAAGACUCAUCUUCCUGAAUGUACAUUUGGCCUCAGACCCUACCUGUCUGACCCUGGGUUGCCACAAUUGAAGAACAAGUUUUAUCUCUAAGAGGGAUGUGUUCACAGCUUUGCUAACUGUCACAGUUAAACUUGAAGUACUGGAUAAAAGAUCUUAGAAAAGAUGAAGAUCUUGGCAAAAUGAAGAGUGUGAUGCUAUUUUGAGAAAGAACCAAGAGACAAGCCAGAUAAAGCUUUUAGAAGAACAAGAAAAACUGUACCUUACAGAACAUUAGCCACCAGCUAUACAAAUUGUAAGCUGUCAUAAAAGAGUGUCAGUUUCUGGCUUCCAAAACAAACAAACAAAAAAAGAUAUAUUUUGGGCUAAUAUGUGUUUAUGUGUUUGAGAACAGUAAGAUAUAAAGUACGGAGAGAUAUCUUCUGUUCUAUCCAGUAAUGAUUUCUUUCUAAGGUGCUAAUUGAAUAAAUUGAAUAUUCAUUUAAAAACUAGCUCUUAAAUUCAGAAUCAUUAAGAGCCAAGUACCUAGGCUACCCUAUUCCAUCUCCAUAUCUUAUUCACCAAGCUGCCCUACUUUAGCUGUUGGCCCAUAUUACACUUUACUGAUAUAUGUUAAAUUCCUUCACUUCUGCAAUCUCAGAAGGAUGAAAUAUGUGUUAAUUCUGAAGUUAAUUUCACCUCUUUUAUAACCUGUUGAUGACAUUCCAUGCUGCCACUGACAUUGAAUGAUAUAUAGAUUAUUCUGUGUUUUUUCUACUUUUCAUUCAAGAGAUGGGGAAAAGGAACAAGGGUCUGUUUCCUUGGCUAACAUACCACACAGUCUCUUCUUGCAUUUCAUCUGUAGAGCAGGUAUUUGUCUCAGGAAGGUUAGCUAAGUCUUUACUCUUUUCAGUGACUGAUCAUUUGUCAUAAGUGAAAAAUAUGCACGCAUUUCUAGUCAGCAGAUGGAUGAGUAGAGAAUCUAAGUACAAUUGACUGAGUGACGCUAUUUUAGUACUGAUGUCUGUGGUGGUGAUUAAUCACAAAGGCAGGUUUACUGGAAAAGCUUGUUCCAAAACAGAACAUUUUCAUUGCAGUAUAUUGCUAUCCUAUAUUACUCUACAUGUGCUAGAUGGGAGAGACCUGAAUUUCUGUAUUCUGGUGGGAGAUGAUAGGAAAGUUGAGAAUUAUUGUUUUGAAUCAGUGCUUUGCAAGGUAAUUCUCUGAGAUUUUCUUUACUCAGCUGUGUUAAAGUACUAUUCUGGAUAGUAAGAGCAGGAAGAGGGAAGCUAUAGGGAUUAGGAGGAUCUAAUGGGGCGAAAUGGAUUUUAGACAUCUUGAGUUUAAGCUGUUUACUGGACAUCCAGUUCCAAUGUUUGAAUUAGAAUUGUAAGUUCUAGAAUUCCAAUUACAACUGCAAGACUGGAGUUCUGCUGACAGGUUAGGGCAGGAACGAAGAUCUGAGAAUAACCAGCACAGAUGAUAAUUAAAUCUAUUAAAGUCCAUGAGAUUACCAAGAAAAGUAGUAUGAGGAGAGAGAGACACACAUAGAGAUAAAGAAACA
Molecule: long non-coding RNA, 1722 nt
Organism: Sarcophilus harrisii (Tasmanian devil)
Lineage: Eukaryota; Metazoa; Chordata; Mammalia; Dasyuromorphia; Dasyuridae
Exons: 4
Source: RefSeq, a predicted model, not a curated record